Molecule: ribosomal RNA, 253 nt
Filed under: uncultured bacterium
Lineage: Bacteria
Description: partial 16S ribosomal RNA
Rfam family: Bacterial small subunit ribosomal RNA
Source: RNAcentral
UAUGGAGGGUGCAAGCGUUAUCCGGAUUCACUGGGUUUAAAGGGUGCGUAGGUGGGCAAGUAAGUCAGUGGUGAAAUCUCCGGGCUUAACCCGGAAACUGCCAUUGAUACUAUUUGUCUUGAAUACUGUGGAGGUCAGCGGAAUAUGUCAUGUAGCGGUGAAAUGCUUAGAUAUGACAUAGAACACCAAUUGCGAAGGCAGCUGGCUACACAAAUAUUGACACUGAGGCACGAAAGCGUGGGGAUCAAACAGG